CUCUUCAGUCAGCAAAAAUGGCCAUGACAUCUUCCUCCUCAAGCAAUCUACAACCACAGGGUUCAAGUUCUGAAAACUUGGAGUCAUGGUUGAAAUAAGAAAUAGAUUGGCUGGUAGGGCACACAAAUAGAGCAGAGAACUAGUCAUUUGUAGAAGAUAAGUAAAGAGGAGGCAACAGGAAUCUUAUUGCAAGAUCCAGAAUCUGUGUGAAUAUGCAGGAAUGUGGGAGAGUCUCUUAAAAAGCCAACCCAAAAUGGCUAAUGUAAAGCUUCAGAGAUAUGAAAAGCUUCAUAUUACGCACUCCAGACAAGAAUAAAAAUGGACUCUACUCCUCCAAAAUGAAUUCACUGGGGAAUAUUCUACCAUAACCUCUACAAGCAUGAAUUAGCAGGCCUAGUCACUCAUGGCUUUCCUGAUGGGGGUUCUGUGAGAGUGCUGAGCCCGGAUGCCCAAGGCUUCCACUGCGUGUAAUGAAUUAGCUCCCACUACCACACAGCUAUCCUGGAACUAGCUAAGAACCACCCAUGGGAGAACUGGGAGAAUCGUCAUUUGAAUCAUUUCCUGUGUUCUGUGGUUCAGGUGAAGGAUGCAAGAUGAGAAAGAUGAAAUCCUCUAAUAUGGAAAACAGAUUAGCAGUAGGCAGGGAAUGGCAACCAGAGGUAGAAGAUUUUAAAAAUUAAGGGAAAGGUUUGGUGCAGGGAGGCAAGGUGAGAUCAUGGGCUUUGUAUCAACCCAGCUAUGCUACUUACUGUCUACGCCACAUGAGAAAGUGACUUAGCUUCUAUAAAUCUGAACUUCUUCAUCUGUGAAAUAGAAAUAAUGUAGCCUACUUCCUAAUAUCUGUGUAAAGAUUAAACAGGAUAACAUAUAAG
Molecule: long non-coding RNA, 872 nt
Filed under: Homo sapiens (human)
Lineage: Eukaryota; Metazoa; Chordata; Mammalia; Primates; Hominidae
Description: HSALNT0046877
Source: RNAcentral